AGGACGAACGCUGGCGGCGUGCUUAACACAUGCAAGUCGAACGAUGAAGGGGAGCUUGCUCCUUGGAUUAGUGGCGAACGGGUGAGUAACACGUGAGCAAUCUGCCCUUGACUCUGGGAUAAGCGUUGGAAACGACGUCUAAUACCGGAUACGACCCUCGGAGGCAUCUCCGUGGGGGUGAAAGAUUUUGGUCAAGGAUGAGCUCGCGGCCUAUCAGCUUGUUGGUGAGGUAAUGGCUCACCAAGGCGACGACGGGUA
RNAcentral lists this ribosomal RNA (258 nucleotides) under uncultured soil bacterium. RNAcentral's name for it is "partial 16S ribosomal RNA". It matches the Rfam family "Bacterial small subunit ribosomal RNA", at positions 26 to 285 of the family's 1533-position model. The record is from RNAcentral.